GUGGGGAAUAUUGCACAAUGGGCGCAAGCCUGAUGCAGCCAUGCCGCGUGUGUGAAGAAGGCCUUCGGGUUGUAAAGCACUUUCAGCGAGGAGGAAGGGUAGUGUGUUAAUAGCACAUUGCAUUGACGUUACUCGCAGAAGAAGCACCGGCUAACUCCGUGCCAGCAGCCGCGGUAAUACGGAGGGUGCAAGCGUUAAUCGGAAUUACUGGGCGUAAAGCGCACGCAGGCGGUUUGUUAAGUCAGAUGUGAAAUCCCCGCGCUUAACGUGGGAACUGCAUUUGAAACUGGCAAGCUAGAGUCUUGUAGAGGGGGGUAGAAUUCCAGGUGUAGCGGUGAAAUGCGUAGAGAUCUGGAGGAAUACCGGUGGCGAAGGCGGCCCCCCUGGACAAAGACUGACG
This 400-nucleotide ribosomal RNA is filed under the name uncultured bacterium. RNAcentral's name for it is "partial 16S ribosomal RNA". It matches the Rfam family "Bacterial small subunit ribosomal RNA", at positions 354 to 745 of the family's 1533-position model. The record is from RNAcentral.